AAAGAGAUGAAGAGGAGUGAGCCAGGUUUCAGGAGGGGGCACGCAGGAGACCAGCCCUGGAUUCAGACUUGAGCCUGGUCCACACCAGAGGCCGAUAGAAGGCUUGGAUUACAGCAGGGGCAGGUUCUUUCACGAAAUCAAAUUUCUCCACUGAUUUCUGAAUUCAUAGCAAGCUAACUAGAAGAGAUUUUUAAUUCAGAAUGCUGCACUCCAAAAAACUGAGAAAGACAUUGAGGGAGGGAAUAUGGAAAUUUGAUGGUAUCUCGGCUAAGUUUGAUAUUGAGAUUUUUGUAAUAAAUGUUGUUGAAUAAAAAAGGCAUCAAGAUGCCUAAAUCAGAGAGAUAAAAUGAAGAAUAAUUACAGUAUACAAUUUUUGAAUUAUUGUCCAAUCAACUAAAAUUAGAAGUUUUUAACAUGCUAAAAUGGAAAGUUAUUCAACAGAAUGGAAUCCUUUAAAAUAUGAUGGAACUGCCACUUAAGCAUCAGAAGUCUGCUCAGGUGUGACCCUGGGAGCCCAAACUUUUCACGGAACAGCAAGGAACAUCCCUGUGCUCCUCCUUCCCAGUCUCUUUUUUUUUCAGAGGGAGUCUCGCUCUGUUGCCCAGGCUGGAGUGCAGUGGCGAGAUCUCAGCUCACUGCAAGCUCCGUCUCCCGGGUUCACGCCAUUCUCCUGCCUCAGCCUGCCGAGUAGCUGGGACAACAGGCGCCAGCCACCAUGCCCAGGUAAUUUUUUGUAUUUUUAAUAGAGAUGGGGUUUCACCAUGUUAGCCAGGAUGAUCUCGAUCUCCUGACCUCGUGAUCUGCCCGUCUCAGCCUCCAAAAGUGCUGGGAUUACAGGCAUGAGCCACUGCACCCAGCCCGCCUUCCCAGUCUUUACAUAGAUGCUUAGGAUUCAAGGGGGUUUUCUUCUCAUUAGCAAGACUUAGGCACAAUCACUAUGCCUAGUACCAAAUCUCUACAUUCAGGAAAGAAGGUGCAACUUAGAAAUAUCAGUUCAUGAACCAUGGGUCAUCUCACUCUUUGGGAAAACACAGAGUCAAGCCAACUCUCUUGAUCUUCCAGGCAUACAAAACCUGCCUUGCCUCUCCCCAGUUUGAACAGUGCUUUUGAACUUUGAUGGAAAAGCCACAUUUGGAAGCUGCAGCAUCCUCGGGAGACAGCUGGAUCAGCCAGAGAGCUUCAGAAAGACACACAUCACUCUGCCAGACACACACACUGCUCCAGCUCCAGCAUCCAACAUCUGACCACAUGUCGGCAGCCACUGCUGACCUGGCUCCACCAUUUCUCCCCAGGUCUAAGCUUAAGCCGCACUGCAUUGCUUCCAUUUCUUCAUGCUUGCUCUGUUCCCUUCUACCACAGGGGCUUUGUGCAAGCUCAGCCUCAACAUGGAUCUUCCCCCUUCUUCACCUGGUCAACAGCCACUCAUUCUUCAACCUUAGUUCGAGCAUCAUCAACCUCCCCCGCUAUGUCAGUUCUCCCUGUUAGACACCCUGGCUGUUCCACAUAUCUUUUAUUCAAAGUAGUUACAUAUUAAAGCAUUCCAUUUGUGCAUACAAUUAUUGUAGAAUUACUUCCCAGCAGACAGAUGCUAUAGGAGGGAAGAGACCUUUUCUGCUUAAGUAUCUAGUGCAGUGCCUGGCCCUUAAUAGGUGCUCAACAAAAAUUUUUAAAUGAAUGCUUAAAUACCAUAUCAUGGGUCAUGUCUGGUUGCAAAAAGAUAUUCAUCAUAAUAAAAAUAAUAAACUAUAAUUAAAAUAUACUCAUCAUCAUAAAAAUAAAUGAACUAGGCAGAUACUGGUGUUAAAGGUAUCACUGCCUUUAUUGUGGGCCAUUUUAGGAUGCAAGGCACAGUAGGGGUAAACAAUUAAGAGAGACUUCUGUAGUCUAGGAAUAC
This 1894-nucleotide long non-coding RNA is filed under the name Homo sapiens (human). Its description in RNAcentral is "HSALNT0027512". Lineage: Eukaryota; Metazoa; Chordata; Mammalia; Primates; Hominidae. The record is from RNAcentral.